Molecule: ribosomal RNA, 253 nt
Filed under: uncultured bacterium
Lineage: Bacteria
Description: partial 16S ribosomal RNA
Rfam family: Bacterial small subunit ribosomal RNA
Source: RNAcentral
UACGUAGGUGGCGAGCGUUGUCCGGAUUUAUUGGGCGUAAAGCGCGCGCAGGCGGCUGCCUAAGUCCGCUGUGAAAUCUCCCGGCUCAACUGGGAGGGGGCGGUGGAGACUGGGUGGCUGGAGGGACCGAGAGGCCGGUGGAAUUCCCGGUGUAGUGGUGAAAUGCGUAGAGAUCGGGAGGAACACCUGUGGCGAAGGCGGCCGGCUGGGGGUCACCUGACGCUGAGGCGCGACAGCGUGGGGAGCGAACCGG